RNAcentral lists this ribosomal RNA (391 nucleotides) under Hemidactylus mabouia. RNAcentral describes it as "partial small subunit ribosomal RNA". It matches the Rfam family "Bacterial small subunit ribosomal RNA", at positions 875 to 1411 of the family's 1533-position model. Lineage: Eukaryota; Metazoa; Chordata; Lepidosauria; Squamata; Gekkonidae. The record is from RNAcentral.
CCUAAACCCACUGCUCGCCAGAGAACUACAAGUAAAAACUUAAAACUCAAAGGACUUGACGGCAUACCAUAUCACCCUAGAGGAGCCUGUCCUAUAAUCGAUAACCCACGCUACACCUCACCUGUUCUUGCACUAUGCUCAGCCUAUAUACCGCCGCCUUCAGCCCGCCUUACAAAAGCACAAACAGCGAGCAAAACAGCCACCACUAACACGCCAGGUCAAGGUGUAGCCAACGAACAGGAAGAGAUGGGCUACAUUUUCUAACUUAGACAACACCGACAGCAACAUGAAACACCCGCCUAAAGGUGGAUUUAGAAGUAAGCCAGGCAAGAUAUGCCUGACUGAACCUAGCUCUGGAAUGCGUACACACCGCCCGUCACCCCCUCCUCAA